GAUCUGGCUCUAGGUCUGGGACAACCACUGGAAACGGUGGCUAAUACCGGAUGUGCCGAGAGGUGAAAGGUUAACUGCCUAGAGAUGAGCUCGCGUCUGAUUAGCUAGUAGGUAGUGUAAUGGACUACCUAGGCGACGAUCAGUAGCUGGUCUGAGAGGACGAUCAGCCACACUGGGACUGAGACACGGCCCAGACUCCUACGGGAGGCAGCAGUGGGGAAUUUUCCGCAAUGGGCGAAAGCCUGACGGAGCAAUACCGCGUGAGGGAGGAAGGCUCUUGGGUCGUAAACCUCUUUUCUCAGGGAAGAACACAAUGACGGUACCUGAGGAAUAAGCAUCGGCUAACUCCGUGCCAGCAGCCGCGGUAAUACGGAGGAUGCAAGCGUUAUCCGGAAUGAUUGGGCGUAAAGCGUCCGCAGGUGGCAAUGUAAGUCUGCUGUUAAAGAGUCUAGCUCAACUAGAUACAAGCAGUGGAAACUACAUAGCUAGAGUACGUUCGGGGCAGAGGGAAUUCCUGGUGUAGCGGUGAAAUGCGUAGAGAUCAGGAAGAACACCGGUGGCGAAGGCGCUCUGCUAGGCCGUAACUGACACUGAGGGACGAAAGCUA
Molecule: ribosomal RNA, 607 nt
Filed under: Nostoc punctiforme
Lineage: Bacteria; Bacillati; Cyanobacteriota; Cyanophyceae; Nostocales; Nostocaceae
Description: bacterial SSU rRNA
Rfam family: Bacterial small subunit ribosomal RNA
Source: RNAcentral